CCUUUCAGUUGCUUUGGUUGAUUUUAUGAAUUCUGACACUUGUCUUGAUAAAGCUCACGUAGAGAGACAUUUGGAAGUGGCAUUGGUGAAAAGAUGGCUUAAAAUUCAGGAAUUUGGGCAGGAAGUUAUGUAAAUUCAAUGUAAAUUCAUAUUUUAUUUUUAUGUGUACAGUUUAAUCAUUUAAAAAUUUAAUAGGAUAUUUCUUACAUGAAGUUCACCAUUAUGUUCAUCUUUCUUAGAGGAUUAGUGAGAUUAAGGGAAUAAUAUUAACUCAAAGCCAAGAAAUUAAACUGUGAAAGCCAAAGAGCCAGGCUUUAAGGAGUUGCUGUAAUGAAAGUCUAUCAAAAAAAAAAAAUUGGGAUAAGAAUUAGAAAUCUUCCACAUAUAACUCAGUUUUUUCGUUUCUUUUUUUUCUUUUUUUUUUAAUAGGGAAAAGAGUCUUUGGUCAAAACGGAUAUGUUAGACUAUCAAAAAACAUUGUAGCCUCAUACUGCUACUUCCAUGACCUUAAGAAUAUUAUUAGUGCCCCAUGGGUAUGGUAACCAGAUAUCUUUGAUAAGAUCAGUUUCUUAAACUAGAUUGCCAAGGUAAAGUUUAAAACAUGAGGAGAAAUUUAAAUUUAUCACCGAAGAAAGCUAAAUCUACCUGUGUAAAAAUGUUAAUACCAAUUAAAUUAUGUUAAGAAUGGUGGCUGGGUGGAGGAAGAAAGGGAUAACAGAGAGAACUAAUCUACAUGGACCAGUUUGGAUGUGUUUAUCUGCUAAGUAACAGAAAACCCUGACUCAAAAUGGCUUACACAUGAGGAAUAUUUAUUAUCUCACAUAACACGAAGUCCAAAUGUGAAUGCUCCAGAUUGUUGAUUGAUUCAAUGGUCAAUUCAGUUGCUCAACACAGCAGAAAUAUAAGUUCUCUGCAUCUUUCUGUUCUACCCUCUUGGACCUGUUGACUUAGUUCCCCACAUGGUUGCAAGAUGGCUGCCACAGCUCCAGGAAUGGUCAUGAACACAAUGACACUGGGCACAGGGGAUGUUUAUCCCCAACUAUCUUUUUUGUUAGUAAGGAGAGAGAGCCUUUCCCAGAUUUCCCAUACAUCAUUGUAUCCAGAAUUGUACCUCAUGCCCAUGUCCAAACUGAUCCUUGAUAAUAAGAACAGGAAACCAGGCAGUGUGGAGUGGGCCCCCCCUCCCUCUUCUGAGCACCAGGAUGUACAGAGGAGAGGAGACACCCAAACAACGUAAGCAUCUUUUUAGCAAAAGGGGAAGAGAGGACUGGAUUUUGGUCUCUUCUACUAUGAGUAGCAUCAUUUUUCCAUCUCUAAUCAAACUUCAAUAUUUAGUAUCAAGGGAUUGGGAGGAGCUAUCAAAUGAAUUUACCAUAUAUGGGUCCAUGUGUUAAUACACCAAUGUGCCCAAACAGACUCAGCUUAAAGACAUUGAGGGAAAGAAAGUGGUAACUCAGUCAAUGAGUACAAGUUCAGCUGUGCUCUGAGGGCUGAAGCACAUCAGUGCUGUGACCCACAAAAGAGCAGUUAACCUUCUUCAUCUCAAAUCUGUUUUAGCUAUCUAUAGAAGAGAAUUUCUAUUUUAAGCUGAAGAGACUUCUGUAAAAUAUCUGGCUGUGGAGUUUAUGAAAAGGAUUCUGAAAAAAGGAUGCAUUUUGUGUUAUCUUAACAAUAUGUCUUAUCCUGAGGCUUGUUUGAAGUUGGUAAAUAGAAACAUGUAGUUCCAAAAGAGAUUUUGGUUUAUACACCUAUACGAGACACGUGGAAACUUUAAACACUUUUGAAAUGUAAAAAUACAAUUUAUAGCUUAUCAAAGUAUAUGGUAGAUAAGAAAUGUGACUGAUUAUUCUAAUCCUUUACUUUGAAACUAUGUUGCAUGGCUUGGUCCAUAACUUCCUGCCCUUCCACUUCAUAUAGCAAUAAAACCUUAUAAAUAAUAAUUAAAAAAAACCCUCAGAACCCUUUACUUCAUGACCCAUGUAUGUGUAACGGAUUAUGUAAUUCUGGUUAAUUGCUUGUCUAUCCCCACAGGACUCUAAGCUCUCCUGAUGGUUUCUGAAUUUUUAUAUAGGAUGUGGCUUUGGGACUGCAAUCUCUUUGAAGGGGAAGAACGUAUAGAGAGCUUGAAGUUUUGUUUUCCCAGGACUAUAAUCAUCAUGAACAAUCAGAAGAAUGGUAGUGAGGGUGAGCAUGGGGGUGCUGGUUGACAUGGUGGGGCCUCAGGCACCCCUCCAGCCACUCCUUGGUUUAUGGUGAGCAACUCAGACUAUGUCUGUAGUUCACUGUCAUCUCCCUAGCACAAAACAAUGUGAUUCCAAACACUAGUUGAAUGACCGAAUAAGCAGAAUCUAGUCCCAUUUGCCAAAAGCAGAAACUAAGUUACUUGUCACAUGAAGUAAUGGGUGUUGACUUUUUCUUUGUUUUCCUAAUUGUAAAGCUUGCAGGAAGUGGAAUGACAGAAUUUUUUUUUUUUAACUCUAAUGGUCCAGUUGUGUAGAGAUGUGUAUUCCCCCUUUCUGAAAUAAAUCUUCAUGUGAUUUUUUUGUGAAAGGGUACAAAGGAAAUAAAAUUUAUUAGGUAUAUACACCAAAAUCUCUUUUGGAACUACAUGUUUCUAUUUACCAACUUCAAACAAGCCUCAGGAUAAGACAUAUUAUUAAGAUAGCACAAAAUGCAUCCUUUUUUCUCAGUCCUUUUUAUGUCUGAAGAUCUCUCUAUCUCACCUUACAUUUGACGGGAUCCUUGAGUGUUGAAUUUUAGUCAAUAUUCUCUGCUCUCAGAAUUUGUGGUCAUUGCUUUGCUACCUCCUAGCAUUUACUGCAACUGGUAUAUAAAGUGUUGGUCUUGGAAAUUGUCUUCAGUCAAAGGAGCUACCCUGGAAUUCAAAUAAAGAUCUCUCAGAGUUGAUAUAGUCGACAGAGAAAAUGGAGUCUGCAAGUUGCUAGUUCAAAAUCAUAGGAUGAGUACAGGCAGUGGGGUUUAGUGGUUUUAAGCAUGAACUUUGAAGUCAGACAGUCCUGAGUUUAAGCCAUAGCUCCCCUUCCUUCUUAUUUGAUGCGUUACUGUGGAAAAUUACUUAACCUCUUAAGUCUUAGUUUCCUUGUGCAUAAAAUAAAGGAGAUAAUAGUGUGUAUAACAUGAUUGUUGUGAUGAUUCAAUCGGAGUGCUCACUAAACCUUUAGCACGUAAAAUGCCCUCAGUAAAAUAUAUUUUUCAUUAUUAUUGUUAGAAUCAGUCAUAAUAAUAACUUAUAUAAAUGUCUUGAUGAGAGUUUAUGGGGCAGCGCAUUUGUACAAGAAGCACAUUUAAAAAAAUUAUAAAAAAGUGUAAGAACAUUGAAGUGAAAAUUCAAAUAGCAUAAAUGUGGAUAAAACAAAAAUGAAAAGACUUAUUUGCCCUACAGCCUAACUUUACUUCCCAGAGGAAGCCACUGAGAAAUGUUUAAAAAUUAAUUUUUCCUUUCGUCCGGAACCGCCAUCUUCCAGUAAUUCGCCAAAAUGACCAACACCAAGGGAAAGAGGAGGGGCACCUGCUACACGUUCUCUAGGCCUUUUAGAAAACAUGGAGUUGGUCCUUUGGCCACAUACAUGAGAAUCUACAAGAAAGGUGAUACUGUAGAUAUCGAGGGAAUGGGCACUGUUCAAAAAGGAAUGCCCCACAAAUGUUACCAUGGCAAAACUGAGAGAGUCUGCAGUGUUACCCAGCAUGCUAUUGGCAUCCUUGUAAACAAACAAGUUAAGGGAAGGUUCUUGCCAAGAGAAUUAAUGUGCGUAUCGAUCAUAUUAAGCACUCUAAGAGCCGAGAUAGCUUCCUGAAACGGGUGAAGGAAAAUGAUCAGAAAAAGAAGGAAGCCAAAGAGAAAGGUACUUGGGUUCAGCUGAAGCACCAGCCUGCUCCACCCAGAGAAGCACACUUCAUGAGAACCAAUGGAAAGGAGCCUGAACUGUUGGAGCCCAUUCCCUAUGAAUUUAUGGCAUGAUGGGUGUAAAGAAAAUAAAAGACCUGGACGGU
This is an RNA transcript of Aethalodelphis obliquidens (Pacific white-sided dolphin), 4011 nucleotides long. It is a transcript of the gene named 60S ribosomal protein L21 pseudogene, with no coding region annotated. The record is from RefSeq and is a predicted model, not a curated record. The transcript has a single exon. Lineage: Eukaryota; Metazoa; Chordata; Mammalia; Artiodactyla; Delphinidae.